Molecule: transfer RNA, 88 nt
Filed under: Paludibacteraceae bacterium
Lineage: Bacteria; Pseudomonadati; Bacteroidota; Bacteroidia; Bacteroidales; Paludibacteraceae
Description: tRNA-Ser
Rfam family: tRNA
About the family: Transfer RNA (tRNA) molecules are approximately 80 nucleotides in length. Their secondary structure includes four short double-helical elements and three loops (D, anti-codon, and T loops). Further hydrogen bonds mediate the characteristic L-shaped molecular structure. tRNAs have two regions of fundamental functional importance: the anti-codon, which is responsible for specific mRNA codon recognition, and the 3' end, to which the tRNAs corresponding amino acid is attached (by aminoacyl-tRNA synthetases). tRNAs cope with the degeneracy of the genetic code in two manners: having more than one tRNA (with a specific anti-codon) for a particular amino acid; and 'wobble' base-pairing, i.e. permitting non-standard base-pairing at the 3rd anti-codon position.
Source: RNAcentral
GGAAAGUUGUCUGAGUGGUCGAAAGAGCCGCACUCGAAAUGCGGUGUACACCUAAAGUGUACCGGGGGUUCGAAUCCCUCACUUUCCG